RNAcentral lists this ribosomal RNA (687 nucleotides) under uncultured bacterium. Its description in RNAcentral is "bacterial SSU rRNA". It matches the Rfam family "Bacterial small subunit ribosomal RNA", at positions 813 to 1500 of the family's 1533-position model. The record is from RNAcentral.
CGACUUGGAGGUUGUUCCCUUGAGGAGUGGCUUCCGGAGCUAACGCGUUAAGUCGACCGCCUGGGGAGUACGGCCGCAAGGUUAAAACUCAAAUGAAUUGACGGGGGCCCGCACAAGCGGUGGAGCAUGUGGUUUAAUUCGAUGCAACGCGAAGAACCUUACCUACUCUUGACAUCCAGAGAACUUUCCAGAGAUGGAUUGGUGCCUUCGGGAACUCUGAGACAGGUGCUGCAUGGCUGUCGUCAGCUCGUGUUGUGAAAUGUUGGGUUAAGUCCCGCAACGAGCGCAACCCUUAUCCUUUGUUGCCAGCGAUUCGGUCGGGAACUCAAAGGAGACUGCCGGUGAUAAACCGGAGGAAGGUGGGGAUGACGUCAAGUCAUCAUGGCCCUUACGAGUAGGGCUACACACGUGCUACAAUGGCGCAUACAAAGAGAAGCGACCUCGCGAGAGCAAGCGGACCUCACAAAGUGCGUCGUAGUCCGGAUCGGAGUCUGCAACUCGACUCCGUGAAGUCGGAAUCGCUAGUAAUCGUGGAUCAGAAUGCCACGGUGAAUACGUUCCCGGGCCUUGUACACACCGCCCGUCACACCAUGGGAGUGGGUUGCAAAAGAAGUAGGUAGCUUAACCUUCGGGAGGGCGCUUACCACUUUGUGAUUCAUGACUGGGGUGAAGUCGUAACAAGGUAAC